UUCGGAUUGGAGUCUGCAACCCGACUCCAUGAAGCUGGAUUCGCUAGUAAUCGCGCAUCAGCCACGGCGCGGUGAAUACGUUCCCGGGCCUUGUACACACCGCCCGUCAAGCCAUGGAAGCCGGGGGUGCCUGAAGUGCGCUGCCGCAAGGAGCGCCCUAGGGUAAAACCGGUGACUGGGGCUAAGUCGUAACAAGGUAAC
This 201-nucleotide ribosomal RNA is filed under the name uncultured bacterium. RNAcentral's name for it is "partial 16S ribosomal RNA". It matches the Rfam family "Bacterial small subunit ribosomal RNA", at positions 1292 to 1500 of the family's 1533-position model. The record is from RNAcentral.